Molecule: ribosomal RNA, 257 nt
Filed under: uncultured bacterium
Lineage: Bacteria
Description: partial 16S ribosomal RNA
Rfam family: Bacterial small subunit ribosomal RNA
Source: RNAcentral
CGUAGGGUGCGAGCGUUGUCCGGAAUUACUGGGCGUAAAGAGCUCGUAGGUGGUUUGUCGCGUCGUUUGUGUAAGCCCAUGGCUUAACUGUGGGACUGCAGGCGAUACGGGCAUAACUUGAGUGCUGUAGGGGAGACUGGAAUUCCUGGUGUAGCGGUGAAAUGCGCAGAUAUCGGGAGGAACACCGAUGGCGAAGGCAGGUCUCUGGGCAGUUACUGAACGCUGAGGAGCGAAAGCAUGGGGGAGCGAACAGGAUU